GAUGAAGAACGUAGCGAAAUGCGAUAAGUAAUGUAAAUUGCAGAAUUCAGUGAAUCAUCGAAUCUUUGAACGCACAUUGCGCCCGCCAGUAUUCUGGCGGGCAUGCCUGUUCGAGCGUCAUUACAACCCUCAGGCCCCCGGGCCUGGCGUUGGGGAUCGGCGGAAGCCCCCUGCGGGCACAACGCCGUCCCCCAAAUACAGUGGCGGUCCCGCCGCAGCUUCCAUUGCGUAGUAGCUAACACCUCGCAACUGGAGAGCGGCGCGGCCACGCCGUAAAACACCCAACUUCUGAAUGUUGACCUCGAAUCAGGUAGGAAUACCCGCUGAACUUAAGCAUAUCAAUAAGCGGAGGA
RNAcentral lists this unclassified non-coding RNA (353 nucleotides) under soil metagenome. Its description in RNAcentral is "partial contains 5.8S ribosomal RNA, internal transcribed spacer 2, and large subunit ribosomal RNA". The stretch from base 1 to 120 matches the Rfam family "5.8S ribosomal RNA", at positions 35 to 154 of the family's 154-position model. The record is from RNAcentral.